Molecule: transfer RNA, 73 nt
Filed under: Sylvirana guentheri
Lineage: Eukaryota; Metazoa; Chordata; Amphibia; Anura; Ranidae
Description: tRNA-Leu
Rfam family: tRNA
About the family: Transfer RNA (tRNA) molecules are approximately 80 nucleotides in length. Their secondary structure includes four short double-helical elements and three loops (D, anti-codon, and T loops). Further hydrogen bonds mediate the characteristic L-shaped molecular structure. tRNAs have two regions of fundamental functional importance: the anti-codon, which is responsible for specific mRNA codon recognition, and the 3' end, to which the tRNAs corresponding amino acid is attached (by aminoacyl-tRNA synthetases). tRNAs cope with the degeneracy of the genetic code in two manners: having more than one tRNA (with a specific anti-codon) for a particular amino acid; and 'wobble' base-pairing, i.e. permitting non-standard base-pairing at the 3rd anti-codon position.
Source: RNAcentral
GUUGACGUGGCAGAGCCUGGUUAUGCAAAAGGCCUAAGCCCUUUUCAUCGGGGUUCAAAUCCCCUCAUCAACU